UCCAAGAUAAUUGGAGCUAAUGAUGUCCAUUGGCUUCAUUGUCUCCAUUGUCUUUUGUCAAAAACCAUAGAAAGCAACAGCUGCAAAAGUCACAAUCCACAGUCCUCUUUCACAGGAGGAUCUCUACUGUUAUGCCAGGUAGAAGGUUUAUUACAAACUGAAAAAAAACACAGGAGGAUCUCUACUGUUAUUACAAACUGAACAAAAAACACAGGAGGAUCUCUACUGUUAUGCCAGAGACUGUAAUCGCAUCACAGUUAAUGGUCCUGACACAGCCAGCAACUUCCAGCUGAAGUGAAGUCCAUAGUAAAGUUACCUGUGUGCAAUUGCUGUGUCACACCUUACGGCACCUGAAUGGACACCUGCAGGUUAACCCUGCCAGGGGAACUUCUCUUCCUCCUUCCCUCUCCAUGGGUGGGCAAGCCUUUGUGAGACACCUUUGGCAAGCAAGGGGUGAAAACACAGCUCUCAUAGACAGCCCAGAGUUUAGCACAGCUUGGCUUCGGCCUCUGAACUGACUGCUCCUGCAGCAGUUAACCAGGGUCAAUGCAAAAUAAGGCACAUACAUUGGGAGAAUAGAAACACUGCUGUUCAGGAGGACAAGCCAUUGCGGGACAAGCAUGGGAGACCCAAGCAGCUAUCUCACCGAGGGGCAGAGAAGCAGUGACUGGAAGCGAGCAGCCCACCAGCAUCUUAACGCAUUUGGGGCCAUUCUCCAGGAGAGAAUAACACUGUCUGCCAUGCAGGUUUGUGGGACUGCUGUGCUCCCCAGCAAAGCCCCUGUGGAAGCCCACUGACUUCCCUGCACAUGCACCUUUCCUUCACCUGGGUGUAACUGAUGGAUCAACUCCCACUAGCAACUUACACUCUGUGGAAAGUAAAACUGCCUGGAGAAGCACACGCUUCAGGCAGGCUGAGUAUUCCUGAUGUGCCUGAGGCCAACAGUAACAAAUAUGGAAGACUCUCACAGAGCCUUUAGAAGAAAUGGCGAUUUAUACAUAGGCUGCAAUGCUUUAAAAAUUGAACAUUUUAGAUAUUUUCUGCAUUUUCUUGUACUCUUGGGUGAGCAGUGGGUUUCCAACAGCUAUGGCAAAAAUCAGCUGGUGUGCCAGGCAUACAAAAGCAAGCUUGGACUCUGUAACUGGAAGAGUAGAGGGGUGCUAGUAAACACAUCCCACCAGUGUUGAUGGGACUCUCCCCGGACUGCCACAUGUUGAGAAGGAUGGUGACAAGGGAAAGCUGGUGUCCAGCGUAACAGUGCCGUGMUCAGAGAGAUCAGUCUACCUUAUCAGAACAGAACCAAACCCCAAAACAGGUGGGCUAGGAUGUAUUGCUACCCUCACAGGUACCSAAACAAGCUCUUUAGUGUCAAACAGAAAAGCAUGAGGAAACAUUAAAAACUGAAAAGUGACAYGUGAAACAUAAGUAGCACAUACACUUAAUGGUGAAAAUGAUAAAUCAUUUGCACAAACUUCCCAAGGAUACAGCAGAGUCUCUGAUUCUUCAAUUUUGCCAAAUCAAAUGGGAUGCCUUUCUUGAUCAUGUGGUUUUUGCCAAGACACACUGCUGGCCCAAGACAAGGGUAAAUGAGUGACGAAGGUUUGUCAAAUCCAGGAAGGCAAAUUAGCUACUCAAACAGUCCCUUUUAGCCUGGAGCAAUAUGAAUAGCUCCUUCUAAGCUCUGAUGGAUCACAUCUGUUAAUAGCUUCCCAGCAUCAAUUGCACCAGCAG
Molecule: long non-coding RNA, 1731 nt
Organism: Malurus melanocephalus (red-backed fairy wren)
Lineage: Eukaryota; Metazoa; Chordata; Aves; Passeriformes; Maluridae
Exons: 4
Source: RefSeq, a predicted model, not a curated record